ACUUUCAUUUGGGGUUUGACGUUUGUUUACCCCCUCCACAACUGGGCCCAGAUCAGCCCGAUCUCAUGACUAAAUCCGAUCCGAUCCUCCAAAAAAAUGCCAGAUCAGCAGCCAGUAUUGAUC
This is a long non-coding RNA of Sphaeramia orbicularis (orbiculate cardinalfish), 123 nucleotides long. RefSeq lists it as uncharacterized. NCBI's taxonomy places the organism in Eukaryota, Metazoa, Chordata, Actinopteri, Kurtiformes, Apogonidae. The transcript is spliced from 3 exons. The record is from RefSeq and is a predicted model, not a curated record.